UCCGAGAUGGGGAUAACCUUCCGAAAGGAGGGCUAAUACCGAAUUUGACCACAGUUGCUUCGGCAACAGGGGUUAAAGGUGGCCUCUACUUGUAAGCUAUCGCUUGGAGAUGGGCUUAUGCACCAUCAGCCUGUUGGUGAGGUAACGGCUCACCAAAGCUAUGACGGUUAGCUGAUCUGAGAGGUUGAUCAGCCACACUGGAACUGAGACACGGUCCAG
Molecule: ribosomal RNA, 219 nt
Filed under: uncultured bacterium
Lineage: Bacteria
Description: partial 16S ribosomal RNA
Rfam family: Bacterial small subunit ribosomal RNA
Source: RNAcentral